CAGCGACCUGAACAGGGACGUGGGUCACGCUUGCCGCUGUGGUCGGCAACAGUGAUGCUGUGCACAACGCGGCCUGCCGGAUCCUGACCGGCGACGUUGCC
RNAcentral lists this transfer RNA (101 nucleotides) under Acinetobacter baumannii. RNAcentral's name for it is "tRNA-His(gtg)". RNAcentral also lists the same sequence under 2 other names. Lineage: Bacteria; Pseudomonadati; Pseudomonadota; Gammaproteobacteria; Moraxellales; Moraxellaceae. The record is from RNAcentral.